RNAcentral lists this non-coding RNA (26 nucleotides) under Gallus gallus (chicken). RNAcentral also lists the same sequence under 6 other names. The record is from RNAcentral. Lineage: Eukaryota; Metazoa; Chordata; Aves; Galliformes; Phasianidae.
UCUGGGUCGGGGUUUCGUACGUAGCA